RNAcentral lists this transfer RNA (73 nucleotides) under Bacteroidota bacterium. RNAcentral describes it as "Bacteroidetes bacterium tRNA-Gly". It matches the Rfam family "tRNA". From Rfam's summary of the family: Transfer RNA (tRNA) molecules are approximately 80 nucleotides in length. RNAcentral also lists the same sequence under 3 other names. The record is from RNAcentral. Lineage: Bacteria; Pseudomonadati; Bacteroidota.
GCGAGAGUAGCUCAGUUGGUAGAGCAUAACCUUGCCAAGGUUAGGGUCGCGAGUUCGAGUCUCGUCUCUCGCU